CCGCGUUUACUAAAGAUCAUGUUUUUCAAUUAGCUGAAUACAAAUCCUGUCCAAAUAUCCACUACUGUCCUACCUUUUAUUGUGUUUGCACUGUAUAAUCCUGACCUUCACAUAAUCCAAGAUUAUUUUGUAUGGUGGAAUCCGACAUUGUUAUUACAGGAAGUGUUGCCGUGGAGUUCCACGUGCUCUCCAUUUUCUUGUGUCUCUCGGAGCUUUUCGUCAUCUUUACGUAAAAAGCGCGG
Molecule: long non-coding RNA, 242 nt
Filed under: Mytilus galloprovincialis (Mediterranean mussel)
Lineage: Eukaryota; Metazoa; Mollusca; Bivalvia; Mytilida; Mytilidae
Source: RNAcentral